This 1438-nucleotide ribosomal RNA is filed under the name metagenome. RNAcentral describes it as "bacterial SSU rRNA". It matches the Rfam family "Bacterial small subunit ribosomal RNA". The record is from RNAcentral.
AGAGUUUGAUCCUGGCUCAGGAUGAACGCUGGCGGCGUGCUUAACACAUGCAAGUCGAACGCACCUUCGGGUGAGUGGCGGACGGGUGAGUAACGCGUGGGAAUCUGCCCUUAGGAGGGGGAUAACGGCUGGAAACGGCCGCUAAUACCCCAUAUGCCGAGAGGUGAAACGAAUUUCGCCUGAGGAUGAGCCCGCGUCUGAUUAGCUAGUUGGUGGGGUAAGAGCCCACCAAGGCGACGAUCAGUAGCUGGUCUGAGAGGAUGAUCAGCCACACUGGGACUGAGACACGGCCCAGACUCCUACGGGAGGCAGCAGUGGGGAAUUUUCCGCAAUGGGCGAAAGCCUGACGGAGCAACGCCGCGUGAGGGAUGAAGGCCUCUGGGCUGUAAACCUCUUUUCUCAAGGAAGAAGACAUGACGGUACUAGAGGAAUAAGCCACGGCUAAUUCCGUGCCAGCAGCCGCGGUAAUACGGGAGUGGCAAGCGUUAUCCGGAAUUAUUGGGCGUAAAGCGUCCGCAGGCUCUGUAAGUCUGUUGUUAAAGCGUGGAGCUCAACUCCAUUUCAGCAAUGGAAACUACAGGGCUUGAGUGUGGUAGGGGCAGAGGGAAUUCCCGGUGUAGCUGAAAUGCGUAGAUAUCGGGAAGAACACCAGUGGCGAAGGCGCUCUGCUGGGCCAUAACUGACGCUCAUGGACGAAAGCCAGGGGAGCGAAAGGGAUUAGAUACCCCUGUAGUCCUGGCCGUAAACGAUGAACACUAGGUGUCGGGGGAAUCGACCCCCUCGGUGUCGUAGCCAACGCGUUAAGUGUUCCGCCUGGGGAGUACGCACGCAAGUGUGAAACUCAAAGGAAUUGACGGGGGCCCGCACAAGCGGUGGAGUAUGUGGUUUAAUUCGAUGCAACGCGAAGAACCUUACCAGGGUUUGACAUCCUGCGAAUCCCUUGGAAACUUGGGAGUGCCUUCGGGAGCGCAGAGACAGGUGGUGCAUGGCUGUCGUCAGCUCGUGUCGUGAGAUGUUGGGUUAAGUCCCGCAACGAGCGCAACCCACGUCUUUAGUUGCCAGCAUUCAGUUGGGCACUCUAGAGAGACCGCCGGUGAUAAACCGGAGGAAGGUGUGGAUGACGUCAAGUCAUCAUGCCCCUUACAUCCUGGGCUACACACGUACUAGAAUGCUACGGACAGAGGGCAGCAAGCUCGCGAGAGUUAGCAAAUCCCAUAAACCGUGGCUCAGUUCAGAUCGUAGGCUGCAACUCGCCUACGUGAAGGACGAAUCGCUAGUAAUCGCAGGUCAGCAUACUGCGGUGAAUACGUUCCCGGGCCUUGUACACACCGCCCGUCACACCAUGGAAGUUGGCCAUGCCCGAAGUCGUUACUCCAACCCUUGUGGAGGAGGACGCCGAAGGUGGGGCUGAUGACUGGGGUGAAGUCGAAACAAGGUA